This 463-nucleotide ribosomal RNA is filed under the name uncultured bacterium. RNAcentral describes it as "partial 16S ribosomal RNA". It matches the Rfam family "Bacterial small subunit ribosomal RNA", at positions 28 to 507 of the family's 1533-position model. The record is from RNAcentral.
GAUGAACGCUGACAGAAUGCUUAACACAUGCAAGUCUUUGGCGAAGCUGUGCUUGCACAGCCUAGCCAAGGCGGACGGGUGAGUAACGCGUAAGGAACUUGCCCUGCAGUCAGGGAUAACAGACGGAAACGACUGAUAAGACCUGGUAAAGUCAGGCGGACUCAUGUCCAGCCUGAUGAAAAGAGAUGCUGCAGGAGAGCCUUGCGUCCUAUUAGCUUGUUGGUGGGGUAACGGCCCACCAAGGCGAUGAUAGGUAGCCGGCCUGAGAGGGUGGACGGCCACAAGGGGACUGAGAUACGGCCCUUACUCCUACGGGAGGCAGCAGUGGGGAAUAUUGGACAAUGGGGGCAACCCUGAUGCAGCAAUUCUGUGUGCACGAUGAAGGUUUUCGGAUUGUAAAGUGCUUUCAGAAGGGAAGAAAAAAAUGACGGUACCUGCAGAAGAAGCGACGGCUAAAUACGUG